UUCCUGCAGCAGUCGAGUUUCGCGUGUUGAACAUCGUACCGAGGUGUUCCUCACUGAAGCCAGACUUCUUAUCAAUCGGCUGGUACCUGAGCAGCGGCAGCAGCCUUUAAAUACCUGUCUGUUUCUCUUCUAUUAUGAAGCCCAAGAAAUUAAAAGGGUGAUGUUAAUUCAAUGUCGCCGCGACUCGAUCGUCGGAUGGAGAAACGUCACGACACAAUUACCAUCUGCGGCCCUGAACUCGAUAAGAUACUAAUGCGAGAGAAAAAAAAGGUGAUUUUGCCAGUCGUUAUUUCACCGCAACAAACAUACUAAAUACGUCGUAAGUUUAAGUUUUUAAUAUACUUCCAAGUAUAAUUAGUAUGCGCGCAAAUAUUAUGAUGAAGUACGUAAAUACGAAUAUCUUGCAUUUAUGUAAGUUGAGAUUGACAUGCGCAAUUUUGCCGCAUAACGAUAAGCAAGUCGACCCGAUUAUUCGAUUAAUAUUAAUAUAUAAUUCAAUUCUGCUUAACAGUUAUAUUCACGAUGACUAAAUUUUCUCUGUCACUUUCUACUUAAAUCGCAUGAUUACGUUUGUUGUCGUCGUGUAUAUCUCACGAGCUCAUGUAUUUUUAAAUCCCCUCGCGUGUCAGAUAUCAUUUGAAAAAUGCACAUUUCACGACGACACACAAUUAUGACAUAAUGAAAGCAAGUAAUGUUAAUGAUCUCUGUAAUAUUAAUAAUCACAUUAAUAAUAACUUAUUAAUUUAAUGACCAUGACAAUGACUAAUUAGUUAUCAUUCUUGCAUUGAUAAUCCAUGCAACUUUCACCAUGCGUAAUACUGACUGACGUAUUAGUCAUUUAUCAUUUGACCCUGCGUUUAUUAUUUAACAUGUGCGUAGCUUUACAUUUGAUUCUUGCGUAUUCCGUUCAUUAAUAUAAUAAUACAAAAAUAUAUCAAAUUGCUUUAAAAAAAUAUAUUUUGUUGUGUAUAUAUUUCAACUUUAGAAUAAUCUUUAGCUUUUAAUUAAAUUCUUUCUAUAUUUCUGUAGAAGGGGUCUUUUGGGUAAUUUAGAUAAUCGGGUAGAUUAAUGCUAAACUCGUUAAACAGCUUGCAUUAGCAGGAUGAGGUGUAUGCAAUACUUAUAUUGAAGCCAUACAUCAAGUUCAUCGUAAAUUUUGUGCGGAGGAAAGUGCUGAAGCAGCGUCACGGAAGCAAUAUGUAUCGACGAUGUGUCAACUCCACGACUCUGCCGGUGUGUCUAUACGCGCGUAUGCUUAAAUAUUUAUUGUAUUUGCGUCAGACUGGAGUAUAGUCGCAUCCUGAAGCGGUAGCUCGCAUGCGAACACGGCAGUGCAUACCGAUGACACAAACCUCAUGGCACUCCACUGUACUUCCGUUAUUAAUCGGGAAAGCAUCUCUUUUCGCGCGCGCAAAGCGUGAUAAUUGCGCGAGGAAUAAAGAGAACAGUGCGAAUUCUCUCGUAUUCUAGUCGCGCAAAAUGUGUUCAGCGGCCAAAUGUGCGUCUAAUAGUCUCGCGUUGGCAUUGAACAUGUGAUUUUAUUGAGCAUUGCGCAAAUAAAAAAGUCACACUCGAGGGAUCGCGUUCAUAGAUGUGUACAUAAAUGCAAAGCUACGUGAAUGUCGGAAUGUGAAAAAUAUUAUACAAUGCCGGAAGCAUAUCAUGUCAUAUUUUUGUGUCAGCUUUCUCAUUACGAAUGCAAAACCGAUUUUAUUCUCACUCAGAUUCACUUAUUUUACCGCUUUCAUAUUUAUUUAUAUAGUUCUGCAUUCACAUUUGUUUAAACAUUUUAUCUCAAUUCUACUUACGUUGAAGCAUUAUCCGUUACCUAGAAAAUUGAUAUGCCGCGUUUUAUUUUAUGCGUAUCGAAGUAAUAUCAAUCGCAAUGAUCACUUUUUUCAGUUCACGUUCAAAACUACCCUCUCGGCAUUCGUACCCCCCUUGCAUUUGCGGCUCGCGCUCGAUGACUGAACGCACGGCGAGAAUACGACGUUUUGUGAUCCGCGUGAGAAAAAGAAGAAGAGAACGGGCGAGCUCUCGUGCGUAUGGAACUUGACCUACGAGAGGGAUGAAUUAUAGAAGCGAUUCUAAUCGAUUACCGCGCGACGGUAGACGGAAGCGGGUGGACGGUGCGAGAGCAAUGGCAGCGUUUCACUUUUUUCGCGAGGAUCGAGGGUAGACGUGUCCAGAAUGUUCACACCGAGGAUUUCGCAUAAGCGAAACCAAGUUGACACAGCGUUGAAACCAAGUCGACAGCGUGACACACGAAGCCCCGACGAAUUUUCUGAUAUUGUAAAACCGGCAGUGCGGCGACGCGCUACUCGCCAGCUGCGCCGACGUCUGAUAUCGACUGCUCGAGGGUUGGUAGGCGACUGAAGUCCGCUGGGGGGUUUCUCUGAUAAGAACGUACGCACAUAGGGAAUUUCCAACAGCGGCGAGCAAUGCCGCGCGGGUUUGAUAAGGUACUGGUUGGAGUUGAUUAUUAUUCUGUCGUUACAACCGUAACUAUCAAAUAAUUCCCUUUUUAAAAGAGGUAAUAGUAACCAUAAAUUUUGUUUGAAAGUGUACGGAAUAAAUCAAUAGCGAUUAUUGUUAAUAGCAUAAUUAUAAAUAAUUUGCAAGAGUAGUAUUGAUUACGUGAAGAAAACAGUUAUAUAAUAAUCUCAAAAAUAAAAAUUAAAUCUAAACCUUGCAAAUAAAAAAUUACGUUUCCCAAUAAUAUUUAAAACACACAGAUUAUAUCAGAAUAAAAUGGCAAUUUAAAUAAUUUGCCAUUUAAGAAGAAAUACUAUAUUUGCUAUACAAAGUAUUGAAUAACAGAAUAAAUGGUGGAAUAACAUAGAUCUCUUGCACUUGAAUUAUAAAUGCAUGUGAAUGAAAAAAAGGAAAAAUAAAAACUGUAAGAACAUACCGACAGUGCAGUUGAAAAAGUGGAUUUAUACGAUACAGUUCACGAGAUAUCGAUUCCUCGACAUGUUUAAAUAACAUCGAGCGAUGCCUGACAAGGAUCGUGAGAAAUUGUUUAACGCAGACUCUUUAAUUUUCGGAAUCCAUAUUUGUUAACGAUUGCCUCUAGUCGCGGUUAUGUAUAAAUUUCGAUUGUUUAACUUACCUGGCGCAACUUUCUUCGCUGAAGGAAUAUCGAAUAGGAAAAAGUACGUUUUUAUUGAAAAAAAUUUGCGCUGUCAUCUGGCCAUUUGGUUGGCUGGAUGUGACACAGCCGAAUUUCAAACUACAUCAGCUAUGCCGACAUCUUGCCUCCUAAACGUCCAGUUAAAAAAGGAAAAAUUCUUAUAUUGGAAGUGUUUUAGAUAUCGAAAAUGACCAAACUAUCGCUUGUCGCAGACUGAACAAAUUUUAUUAUACGUAACUUUCGUUCUCAUCUGAUGAAAACGGAUCAAUAAAAUCAUCGAGGGAUUUCCUGAGCGUUCCGGAUAAUAUUCACGAUUGAUAUUCCAAUAAUAUUCCACGAAGGAGAGUUCAAAGCUGAACAGCGACGCGGAAGAUGGAGAAGCUAAUUCGACACUCAAUUCCGAGAGAACUCCUGCACCUGUACGAGGCUGGAAGUCCGUCAAAGAACUGAUAGCGUGGUUUCAGCCGGAAGUGAAUUCGAGAAGCGUUUUUUUGGCGGACCCGAUCGGAAUGAAAAUUCCAUCCAUACGCGCGUAUACGUACACAUGUAUGCGUGCCAUGCACGUCCGCAGGAUCCUAAUGCUCUUCGUGACUUCCGGUAUUGGGCGAACCUGCGCGCCACUACUGGAGAUUAUGUGUGGCCAUCGGUGACCGGAUAUGGUGAAGAACCGGCUGACCAAAUCGCUCUCGCGGCGGACGUCUCUUCAUGCCGAUCACGCGUAACCCGUGUACCAAAUACCGAGCAUCGACCGAUGACAUCAUACCCAUUGUGUACAUAGACAAGCGCUCGCGUUCGCGCUUAUUUUCCGCGCAUCUUCGCGUUCACAGUGGAAUCAUUAUCAUUCCACCAUGAUGGCAUCAUAAACUAGGUGGAUGUUGAAACCGUUUUGCGGAUACCUCCGACCAGAAGUUUCAGCGAAAGUACCCAUGACGUUAUCGAACAGCUGUAUAAACCUGGCAUCCUGGUGUUGCACAAGGUUUAGUGCUCCCAUGCGCGCUAUAACCAUAUAAUGCAUACCGUAACUCUAAUCGCGCGUAUGCUAAGAAGACACGUUCUAUCUAAUGAGCUUGGAUAAAAGUAUGCUCGUAUUUUUUACCCAUAUCUUGGUUGCAAGCAGCAAAGAUUAGAGUUUGGAAUAACACUAACCACUCACCUCAUGGAAUUUGCUUCAUCAGACUAGGGCUACCUCCAAGAGCAUCAUCUUCGGGAAAGAUGCUUCCCAGCUUUCAGUUUUACUAAGCGAUUAUCGCAGGUACGUCGAGAAAUGCUCACAGUGUUCCGUUGCGGAGAAAGUCAUCGCUGGUAACAAUGAUGAGGGCUGCCGCUGCCACUGUCGCUAUCGCCGCCGCCACCGCCACCGCCACCGCCGUCGCCGUUAACGCCGUUGUUGUUGGCACCGUAUUCAACGACACGAGAAGGAAAGAAAGCAAAAAAGCGCCACUGGAGGAACAAUUAAUUCGUACGCGAAACACGUACGCGCGGCCACGCACACGGAGACGCACACACGUACCCGCGACUUCGAUGGAACGCACCUACGCGUGCACCUUCCAUCCGGUUCGGAAUAUUCGGCUACCAGCGAUAUGCGACUAUAUUCUCUGCGAAGCGCCGGAUAUAAAUAUGCGCCGGCAUUUCUCAGCCGCGAGUUUAAUCGAAAAAGUUUCGGCGAUAGGUUUUCACGAAUUUAGUCGGCCAGUGAAUUGUCGCGAAUGGAAUAAAUGAGAAGGCGAUGCGCGUGGAUUAUUUAACACAUUUUUAGUUUUUAAAAGGUAGGGGUUUUGCAUGUGUAUUUUGUACCUAUCGCAUAUACCGUUAAAUAUGUUUAUCUUUCUCGUGGACGUUGAAAUUGAACAAGGAAUAACAGAAGGAUUAAAUAGAAAUGAGCGAUGUAUACAUUAUUUUCAUUGCAAAUAAUACAAACAUUAUAAAACGAAGACGGGAGAAAUGUGACUGAUACAUAAAAAUCAGAUCUUGCAGAAUCGUCACCGUGGCUUUUAUGCGUAUCCUUAAUUUCGAAUAUAGUAUUUGCAUACUCGAUCUUGUAACACGCUAGGAUUAAUGAUAUACAACUGUUAUUAAUGAAAAAAUAUUUUUCACGGUUAUUUCCGUAAUUGUCAUUCCCACAGCGAGACAAUGAGCAACAUUGACGAGCAAAGAAGAACGCAAUACUCGUGUAACAGAGCAGAAGUCUCGGCAGAAGUAGGCCGUGCAAAUGAGGCAUACUGUGUGGAACACCUUUACUAAACCGAAGCGACCAGUGCACACAUGCUAAUUGCAGAACAAGCGGCUACAGUUUUGUGGGACGCCAACGCGUCGCAAGACUUCACAUCGGUGAGGAAUCGGCAAGUGGAGGGAAUUUCGUGACAACGAACGAAAUCGGAAGUGAGAGUACCGGCAAGAUGCAAGCGGCGGAUCCUCGCGGAAGCGUCGAUUUUCCCCGAGAUCUGCGCCUCCGAUGGAAAGAUUUGCCCCGACCGGCCGUUAUUAGCACCCCAAUAAUUAAAGGAACGGUAAUUAACUCAUUCAGUUGAGGCUUGAAUAGUAAACGGCGCACCUGCAAUAUACCGCGGUCAACAAGUUGUUUUACAGGUCGCUCAUAAUUGCGCAGUGUCUCAAUUAGCGGAUCGCCAAUAGAAACCUGUGCUGGUUCGACCGCGACGCAUUCUGAGCGCAAUUGCGUUCACUUACCGUUUGAAUGUAAUUAGGUAUAAUUAUAUAGUUCUACUUUGCGCAUGAUCCGCAUUAUUGACCAAUUAAUACUACUAAUGUUAAAUCCGAUUUAAGCGAGAAAUGACUCGAAAAUGAAUAUCGGUGUGCCAUGUAACUCGUCUACGAAGAAGAUGCUCCUUGUUCGUCCCUGACGUGCAACACGUUGAAUCGAAUAUGAUUUGAUUUUACUCUGAACAUAACAAGCAGCUUUGCGAAGCAUUUAUGCAAUUGAUUUGUCAGUCGUUAAAAUAUUCUGAAGCAAAUCACUUUAUAGCUUCGAUGAUUAUCGAAGAGAUCACGUUCGUGAUGUUCACACUGAUAAUACGAUCACCGAUUAGUUUUAAUUAGCGAUACCUUAUUAUUCUCCGAUCACAUGUACACACAAUUAAAAAUGAACGGUCGUACUGCAAAUCUAAUUGACACCUAGUGUUUAAUUCAGGCACAUUGAACGCACAUCGGACACGAUCGAACACGAUAAGUCGAUGAGUGUGCAAACUGCGAGGAACAUACAAGUGCUUAUGUAACAUUUAUAUCGUUUCGUUGGAACCUUUGCCUCACGACAGCUUGUCGCCUCUGCAAAGAUCUCGAACUCAUUGUCAAGUGUGAGAAAUGAAAAUCGUCUCCUCCAAGUUCUUAGUUCAAGUUACUUUUUAUUACAAUAGUUACAAUAAAAUUACGUGUUUGAAUUAAAUACAACUCGAUUUUUAAGGACUGAAAGAGACUUCUCUCGUACACUAAAACGCAUUUCUUUUCAAGCAUUUUGCGCAUUUUGUUACGUCGCUAUGUUGGAAGCGAGUGGAAUAAAGAUUCAAUUUCGCGCGAUGAAUGUCAAUGUCGCGAAAGAAUGUCACUUUUUUUUAAUUCACGUGAGAGAAAAAGACAUCCUGUCUCUAUACUAAAAGAGCUUUCCUUUAUCGCGGCGAUACCACGGCCCGAGUCCGUGCGCCUUAUCGCAAUCGGGCAUACAUAAUCAAACGUCGUGUGAUAACGUAAUAACACUGUCCGCAUGUUUAUAAAUCGGCACAAAGGCCUGAUACUCUUGAGUCUGACUUGACCGAUACGAAGAAUGCAUUGAAUGCUGAUUGAACUUGGUCUGAGAAAACAGUGGAUAAAAAUGGAUUUUGCGGAAGCUACAGUUAGCGUUAAAUGACAAAGUUGCGAGUACUUCAGUCAAAAAUCGAGUGAAAAAAAUAUGUCACUUACCCAAAUUUGAAGCGUCUUUUCUCAAGUUUAUUACCGUCACGACACCACUAUUUAAUUAUACAAAAAUUUCCAAGUUAUAAUUUUGUUUCAGCUCUUCUAUUUCAUAUAAUUGUUUUCCACAACACAAAACACAAUUUAUCAUUUCCACAUCUCUUUAUGAUAUAGAAAGUCAUUUCACAUUCACUCAUUGUCAGAUAAUAUCGCAAUACGUGAAAUUAUAAUCGUACCUCGGGUAUGGUGCAGUGAUCAGUGCGACGACACGACGACCGCGGAUCGUUUUAACCAGGAAAUCAUUCUCGCGUUACAGGAUGCCCGGUGUGUCAAUAUUGACACAUUUCUUACGAAACACGCAAAAGAGAACCGGGCUUUCGCUGGUUCGCUGGUUCACGUGGUCUCUGGUCACCAUAAAUGCUAUGGGAAAUAUCGAAAAGAAUACUCCGUGCAGUAGAGACUUCCAGAGAAUAUUCUGUUAUGAGUUUUACAUAAAGCACAUUCAAAAUGUUAUACUUGACAAUUAUAUCAAUAUGUAAAAUAAUGCAGUGUGCUAUAAGAAGAAAUGUUUUGAAAGAAUGAUUAUAUAUUAAAUAUAAUAUUAUAAUUAUA
Ooceraea biroi (clonal raider ant) is the source of this 7645-nucleotide long non-coding RNA. RefSeq lists it as uncharacterized. The record is from RefSeq and is a predicted model, not a curated record. NCBI's taxonomy places the organism in Eukaryota, Metazoa, Arthropoda, Insecta, Hymenoptera, Formicidae.